Molecule: ribosomal RNA, 476 nt
Filed under: uncultured bacterium
Lineage: Bacteria
Description: bacterial SSU rRNA
Rfam family: Bacterial small subunit ribosomal RNA
Source: RNAcentral
CUUCCCCACUCCUACGGGAGGCAGCAGUGGGGAAUAUUGCACAAUGGGCGAAAGCCUGAUGCAGCGACGCCGCGUGAGGGAUGACGGCCUUCGGGUUGUAAACCUCUUUCGCUCAUGGUCAAGCCGCAACUCAAGGUUGUGGUGAGGGUAGUGGGUAAAGAAGCGCCGGCUAACUACGUGCCAGCAGCCGCGGUAAUACGUAGGGCGCGAGCGUUGUCCGGAAUUAUUGGGCGUAAAGGGCUUGUAGGCGGUUGGUCGCGUCUGCCGUGAAAUCCUCUGGCUUAACUGGGGGCGUGCGGUGGGUACGGGCUGACUUGAGUGCGGUAGGGGAGACUGGAACUCCUGGUGUAGCGGUGGAAUGCGCAGAUAUCAGGAAGAACACCGGUGGCGAAGGCGGGUCUCUGGGCCGUUACUGACGCUGAGGAGCGAAAGCGUGGGGAGCGAACAGGAUUAGAUACCCUGGUAGUCCACGCUGU